RNAcentral lists this ribosomal RNA (253 nucleotides) under uncultured bacterium. Its description in RNAcentral is "partial 16S ribosomal RNA". It matches the Rfam family "Bacterial small subunit ribosomal RNA", at positions 524 to 776 of the family's 1533-position model. The record is from RNAcentral.
UACAGAGGUCCCAAGCGUUGUUCGGAUUCACUGGGCGUAAAGGGUGCGUAGGUGGUCGGAUAAGUUUGAUGUGAAAUCUUCGAGCUUAACUCGGAAAUGGCAUUAAAUACUAUCUGGCUGGAGGGUUGGAUGGGAGACUGGAAUUCUUGGUGUAGCAGUGAAAUGCGUAGAUAUCAAGAGGAACACCAGUGGCGAAGGCGAGUCUCUGGACAACUCCUGACACUGAGGCACGAAAGCUAGGGGAGCGAACGGG